Molecule: unclassified non-coding RNA, 466 nt
Filed under: Hevea brasiliensis (rubber tree)
Lineage: Eukaryota; Viridiplantae; Streptophyta; Magnoliopsida; Malpighiales; Euphorbiaceae
Source: RNAcentral
AUCUGAUUCACUAUAUGGAAGUCAAAGUCAACAUUUCUGUAAGUCUUGGAUAUGUCAGAAUUGAAAGAUUUUUCAAGUAGCUUUGGGUACUUGCUGAGAUCAAUAUUUAGUUCCUUCUGUGAUCCUUCUAAUUGGUUUAGCGGACUAAUUGCAUUCAGCUUAUGCUUUAGCUCUGUAAGGAUGGAUUUCUGAUCAACAGGAGACAUGAGGCCUUGAACUGACUUGAUGUUUGCCAAUGUUUGUUCAAUUUCAUGACUGACCUGAUCAAUUACUUCUUGGGACUUGGAGGAUGACAGCUUUUGCCUUUUUGCAACACGCUCAAAUGUAUCUCUUACAGUACUCAGCUGUUGGUCAAAUGCAUCUUUUACUGUGCCCAGCUCCAUUCCUGAAAUUGAAUCCCAGACUCGAAUUUUCGAUACAAGGUAAAUUAAGAAAAGAAAGAGAACGCAAGAAAUUCGAUUAGAAG